RNAcentral lists this ribosomal RNA (440 nucleotides) under uncultured bacterium. RNAcentral describes it as "partial 16S ribosomal RNA". It matches the Rfam family "Bacterial small subunit ribosomal RNA", at positions 338 to 795 of the family's 1533-position model. The record is from RNAcentral.
CCUACGGGGGGCAGCAGUGGGGAAUAUUGCACAAUGGGGGAAACCCUGAUGCAGCGACGCCGCGUGAGUGAAGAAGGAAUUCGGUAUGUAAAGCUCUAUCAGCAGGGAAGAAAAUGACGGUACCUGAGUAAGAAGCCCCGGCGAACGACGUGCCAGCAGCCGCGGUAAUACGUAGGGGGCAAGAGUUAUCCGGAUUGACUGGGUGGAAAGGGAGCGUAGACGGCAGUGCAAGUCUGGAGUGAAAGGCGGGGGCUCAACCCCCGGACUGCGCUGGAAACUGUACGGCUGGAGUGCAGGAGAGGUCAGUUGUAUUCCUAGUGUAGCGGUGACAUGCGUAGUUCUUAGGAGGAACACCAGUGGCGAAGGCGGCUUACUGGACUGUAACUGACGUUGAGGCUCGACAGCGUGGGGAGCAAACCGGAUUAGAUACCCGGGUAGUC